Orcinus orca (killer whale) is the source of this 3129-nucleotide long non-coding RNA. RefSeq lists it as uncharacterized. Lineage: Eukaryota; Metazoa; Chordata; Mammalia; Artiodactyla; Delphinidae. The transcript has 4 exons. The record is from RefSeq and is a predicted model, not a curated record.
GUCUCUGGGUCAGGAUACCUGUGUGGAUUUGACCCCAUUGUCACCAGCGAAGCCCAUUAACAAUUCCCGGGAAAUAGAAAUAGAAUCUGGGUGAUAAAGUCUAACCUUUUUUUUUUUUUUUUCCUUUUCCUUUAUGCUUGGUCUAGUUGCACUUGCUCAGAGGGGGUCGCGCGCACAGGCUUUGUACCCGGCCCUUCAGACCCGAAUUCUUGGUGUGAAAUGGCUAUGCCCGGCACCUCAGCUCCGGAGCGUGCGCAGAAGCUCUGCACGCGCCACUGCAAUUCAAGAUGGCGAUGGGGGCGGGCCGUGCGCAGAGACGCUGCGCUGGGAACGUGAGCAGCGCGCCCAGGGCCCGCCCCUAGGUAGCUUCAUCCCCUCCCUACUGAGGAGAUCUCUAGAAAGCAGUUCACCUCACGGCCUGUCCGGGAGGGUGCCGACUCUACGGAGCGAAUGCUCACCUCUCCGUUUUGUGACGGAAAGAUAAAGCUUUCCUUUGCUUCUGAACCAAGGUCGGUCUCGUUCCUGACUCAAAUGACACCUGGCAGGAGAACGCUUGUUGGGGCCCAGCUGGAAAGGCCCAGCGCCAUCAGCCCCAAUUUCAGUUCUCCCACCUUGAGAAAGUGCCAGAUUAUUCAGGUGAGGCCCACAGGCACCCUCCCCUUUCCUUAGCAGCCUGAGUUUUGCAGGGAAGAAGGCACUUGGGUAAGUGCUUUGCUCUGAGUGAACCAGGAUGGGGAAGGAGCUUUUAUCUCUAGGCAAAGUUCAGGGAAAGGAGAACAAAAAUAUUGCUGUGUCUAGGCUUCCUUUAAAUGUAUGGUAACUGGAGUGAUACCCUGGAGAGAGCUGUUUUUCACUCCACAGUUCCACUCCGAUCACGUAAUCUGACUGUCAGGCUGAGCGGGGGCGGGGGCGGGCGGUGGAAUCCUGGGAGAAAGAACCAUCAUUUUGAUGCCUCAGGAAACAGCGACGAUUAGAUCUCAGCGGUCAACGGUGUGUAAUUGGGAUUUUGGGGCUGGGAGAACACAGUCAGAUUUACACAGGGCUCUUCGCCUCUGGGCAUUCUUUUUUUCUGCUAUCAUAUCAUCUCUGGAGCAAAACUGCUUGUUUUAGCUCUUGAUAGAAAAGUAACUUCCCUUUUCCAUUUUUCACAGGCAAUGUGUAAACAAUGAAGAAAGUGAUAGGAUGUCAAUAUGUGUAGCAAUACCUACUUUUGGCCAUACUUGGUGCCAUGGAGAGAGACCGUAGAGUAGAAGAGCUGAGUUUGAGUCCAGUUCUACACUGUUGUGACGCUUCUACAAUGGGGAUAAUGAAACCUGUGAUUCCAACCUCACAAGGCCAUGAGAAUGAAGAAUGGUAAAUAACCAAACAUUCUGAAGCAAUAAAAGAACCCACAUGAAGGAGAGACCCCAGGCUGGGAUGUCAAGUGGAAUAUGUAAAUCGUCAUUUUCAGACUGCUUUCACUUACGUUGCUUUGAUUUCUGAGGCAACUCCAUCCUGAGUUGGUGCCUAUGAGUUUCAUCUUUGUUUAUGUUUGCAACAUAGAACAUAAGCUUCAUGGGAUCAGGAACUUUGUUUCAUUGACUGUUAUAUCCCUGGAAUGCUUGCUGCCUGGUUAUAGUAAGUAAUUGAUUUUCUUGACUGGUUGAAAUUCACAUGUGGUUUCCAAAGGGAUGAGAAGGCAAAUGAGGAAUUUAGAAGAACAAUAAUAUUUUUCAUGAAUGUCUGGGGCUACUUUGAUGGUGAGAGGAAGAGGAAGAGGCUAAUUGCAGAGCACAGGUGUCCAUGCGUCUCACCUUGGACAGGUUCAACCUCCUCCCCAGUCAGACCUUUCACUAGAAUUGCUAGCAAGAAGCAAAUGGGCAGGUCUAGCAAUUAUCUUUAUUUCUUAAUUUCUCUAGGGAAGGUGGGCAAGCUUUUUUUUUUCUCUUAAACUCAUGGAAAUCAGAUGGGAAAGGAUAAUUGAACAAGAGUCCUGCUUAAGAACACUCUAUGUUAUAAAUCACAGCAAGAACCUUUUUGACCCACCUCCUACAGUGAUGCAAAUAAAAACAAAAACAAACAAAUGGGACUACUGAAACUUAAAAGCUUUUGCACAGCAAAGGAAACCAUAAACAAGACGAAAAGACAACCCUCAGAAUGGGAGAAAAUAUUUGCAAAUGAAGCAACUGACAAAGGAUUAAUCUCCAGAAUUUACAGGCAGCUCAUGCAGCUCAAUAUCAAAAAAACAGCCCAAUCCAAAAAUGGGCAGAAGACCUAAAUUGACAUUUCUCCGAAGAAGAUAUACAGAUUGCCAACAAACACAUGAAAGGAUGCUCAACAUCACUAAUUAUUAGACAAAUGCAAAUCAAAACUACAAUGAGGUAUCACCUCACACCAGUCAGAAUGGCCAUCAUCAAAAUAUCUACAAACAAUAAAUGCUGGAGAGGGUGUGGAGAAAAGGCAACCCUCUUGCACUGUUGGUGGGAAUGUAACUUGAUACAGCCACUAUGGAGAACAGUAUGGAGGUUCUAAAAAUCUCAAAUAGAAUCUAAAAAUCUAAAAUAGUUUAAAAAUCUAAAAAUAGAACUACCAUAUGACUCAGCAAUCCCACUACUGGGCAUAUACCCUGAGAAAACCAUAAUUCAAAAAAAGUCAUGUACCACAAUGUUCAUUGAAGCUCUACUUACAAUAGCCAGGACAUGGCAGCAACCUAAGUGUCCAUUGACAGAUGAAUGGAUAAAGAAGAUGUGGCACAUAUACACAAUGGAAUAUUACUUGCCAUGAAAAGAAAUGAAAUUGAGUUAUUUGUAGUGAGGUGGAUGGACCUACAGUCUGUCAUACAGAGUGAAGUAAGUCAGAAAGAGAAAAACAAAUACCAUAUGCUAACAUAUAUAUGUGGAAUCUAAAAAAAAAAGGUCCUGAAGAACCUAGGGGCAGGACAGGAAUAAAGACGCAGACAUAGAGAAUGGACUUGAGGACACGGGGAGGGGGAAGGGUAAGCUGGAAUGAAGUGAGAGACUGGCAUGGACAUAUAUACUACCAAAUGUAAAAUAGCUAGUGGGAAGCAGCCGCAUAGCACAGGGAGAUCAGCUCGGUGCUUUGUGACCACCUAGAGGGGUGGGAUAGGGAGGGUGGGAAGGAGACGCAAGA